AAAUUGAAGAGUUUGAUCAUGGCUCAGAUUGAACGCUGGCGGCAGGCCUAACACAUGCAAGUCGAGCGGUAGCACAGAGAGCUUGCUCUCGGGUGACGAGCGGCGGACGGGUGAGUAAUGUCUGGGAAACUGCCUGAUGGAGGGGGAUAACUACUGGAAACGGUAGCUAAUACCGCAUAACGUCGCAAGACCAAAGUGGGGGACCUUCGGGCCUCAUGCCAUCAGAUGUGCCCAGAUGGGAUUAGCUAGUAGGUGGGGUAACGGCUCACCUAGGCGAC
Molecule: ribosomal RNA, 278 nt
Filed under: Pseudomonas aeruginosa
Lineage: Bacteria; Pseudomonadati; Pseudomonadota; Gammaproteobacteria; Pseudomonadales; Pseudomonadaceae
Also listed under: 2 other names
Description: partial 16S ribosomal RNA
Rfam family: Bacterial small subunit ribosomal RNA
Source: RNAcentral